Eublepharis macularius is the source of this 413-nucleotide non-coding RNA. The record is from the annotation of a RefSeq genome assembly. NCBI's taxonomy places the organism in Eukaryota, Metazoa, Chordata, Lepidosauria, Squamata, Eublepharidae.
UGCACCCACCGUUACAACAGGACGUUUAGGCUUCUGUGGCACUGGUCAAAAUGUUAUGGCUGAUUAGUUUCCUCACAGUGAUGAAUUGGUUCUCUUGGGCCACUUCAGAAGUUGUUCUCACACAGUCGGGCUCAGAACUGAAACGGCCUGGAGAGUCCACCAGACUGACAUGUUCCACCAGUGGAUUUGAUCUCAGCAGUGCUUAUAUGCACUGGAUCCGGCAGUCUCCUGGGAAAGGACUAGAAUGGCUGCUUUAUUAUUAUUCAUCAUCUAGCAACAGCUAUUCUCCAACCAUUCGAGGGCGAUUCACAGCCUCCAAGGACAGCUCCAACUUCUACCUACAAAUGAACAACCUCAAGCCAGAAGACACGGCUGUGUAUUACUGUGCGAGAGACACAGUGAUGAGAACUUAG